RNAcentral lists this ribosomal RNA (468 nucleotides) under uncultured bacterium. RNAcentral's name for it is "partial 16S ribosomal RNA". It matches the Rfam family "Bacterial small subunit ribosomal RNA", at positions 28 to 507 of the family's 1533-position model. The record is from RNAcentral.
GACGAACGCUGGCGGCGUGCUUAACACAUGCAAGUCGAACGGAAAGGCCCUGCUUUUGUGGGGUGCUCGAGUGGCGAACGGGUGAGUAACACGUGAGUAACCUGCCCUUGACUUUGGGAUAACUUCAGGAAACUGGGGCUAAUACCGGAUAGGAGCUCCUGCUGCAUGGUGGGGGUUGGAAAGUUUCGGCGGUCGGGGAUGGACUCGCGGCUCAUCAGCUUGUUGGUGGGGUAGUGGCUUACCAAGGCUUUGACGGGUAGCCGGCCUGAGAGGGUGACCGGCCACAUUGGGACUGAGAUACGGCCCAGACUCCUACGGGAGGCAGCAGUGGGGAAUAUUGCACAAUGGGCGGAAGCCUGAUGCAGCAACGCCGCGUGCGGGAUGACGGCCUUCGGGUUGUAAACCGCUUUCGCCUGUGACGAAGCGUGAGUGACGGUAAUGGGUAAAGAAGCACCGGCUAACUACGUG